This 253-nucleotide ribosomal RNA is filed under the name uncultured bacterium. RNAcentral describes it as "partial 16S ribosomal RNA". It matches the Rfam family "Bacterial small subunit ribosomal RNA", at positions 524 to 776 of the family's 1533-position model. The record is from RNAcentral.
UACGGAGGGUGCAAGCGUUAUCCGGAUUCACUGGGUUUAAAGGGUGCGUAGGCGGUUUGGUAAGUCCGUGGUGAAAUCUCUAAGCUUAACUUGGAGACUGCCAUGGAUACUAUUAGUCUUGAAUAUUGUGGAGGUUAGCGGAAUAUGUCAUGUAGCGGUGAAAUGCAUAGAUAUGACAUAGAACACCAAUUGCGAAGGCAGCUGGCUACACAAAUAUUGACGCUGAUGCACGAAAGCGUGGGGAGCAAACAGG